GCAGUGUUCCGAUCCAAUCACAUAUGAUCAGUGAUGACAAGAGCCUGGAAUGGUGCAUGCCGCACAUGUUCGUUAUUCACCCUUCCAUCCCACAGAAACAUAGGACAUAAGUAGGAUCGGAUCGCUACAUGAUGAGUGUGGACCGGGCUUUAAUCCAAGUGUUCCGAUCCCACUCUUUUCCGAUAUUCCUUUGGAGUGGUGGUGGAACAUGACGGACAUGUGUGGUAUGCGUCGUAUGCCAGGCCGUUGAUAUCACUGAUUAUGUGUGAUUGGAUUGAAGCGAGAUCGGACGCUGCAUGACACUUGUGUCCUUGGCUUGUAGCGUCAUGAACACAUGCUGUACGUUUCUCAUCAGCUGAUGCUAUGCUUAUCAUUUAUUCAUUAAUUUUAUUUAUUCAUCAAUACAAUAAUAAUUAUUACAAUGUACAAUGAUCUAUAAUAAUAGUUAUCACAAUCGGAAAGGGAAAAACUAAGCCUAGUGGUCGGUAGCAAAGUCGGUUUGACAAGGCUUUUAAUAAUCGGCUUUUUAAUCGAUCUGCAAGGCUUUUUCGAUCUAUUCAAAUGAAGGCAAUCAAGGCAAUAUAUUUUUUUAUAAUAUUAUUCAUUCAUAAAUAACUAUUUUUCAUUGGAAAUUCGUCAUGAAGCUCAAUUGAAGACGCACUCUGCCUCAACAUGUAAAAAGGCGGCUCUGCCUCGAAAGGUGGAGUAUUCGACCAAUAAAUUAUUCUGAAAGUUACAGUAUUAUAUCUACAAGAGUCUUCAACUUAUUGAAGGGUUCCCCCAUACUUAUGACUCACUCUGUAUAUUCAUGACCGCCGAAUAUGUGGAAGAUAGGAGACCAUAUUCAGGUUUUCAUCUCAUAUGAUCCUCAUAUUAAAUUCCGGUUGUAUCUAGCUUUUUGUUUCAAUUAUACAUUUUAAACUGUUACAAUCUAUUAACUUAUAUUCUACUCAAAUCUCUUCUCUAGGCCAAUUCAACUCUACUCAAUUCAUUCUCACCAUUUCAACUCAUUCAUGAUACUAUGUGUUAUCUUCACUUGAAAAUAAUAUUUUUUCAUAGACAUUAAUUUAUAUCGUUAUACAUUGUCGAUUUCACUCCUUUCACUCAAAUUAGUGGAACAGAAUUUCUCCAAAUGAGUUGUAUAAUAAUAUUGGCACUCAUUACUGUAUCAAUAGAAAUAAUACAAAAUAGAACAAUUAUAUCAACAUAAAUUUCAAAAAUAAACUGUUGAAAAUAUUAGCACUGUUCUCUGUAUGAACAGAAACUCUAUACAAUACAGAAACAUAGCAUUACUGUUUCCUGUAUUCUGUAGUUCUCGUUAUUCAUUCUGUGUUUUCUGUUUGCCAGUGUCUUCAAUCCCAGGAAAGUUUACUUGCGAAGGCUGUGGCAAAUGUUACAAAUACAAAUCAACACUUUGGACCCAUACACGCUAUGAGUGCGGCAAACAGCCUCAAUUCCAGUGUCGCUACUGUUCUUAUCGCUGUCAUCGCAAAGCAUCGCUCAAACCACAUUUUGUCUCCAGACAUAGCAAAUUUCUAAUGAACUAAAUUGCUUUCACAAUCAGGAAGGUUUGAAUGCAAUGGAUGUGGAAAAGUUUACAAAUAUAAAAGUUCGCUGUCCACUCACACGCGCUUCGAGUGUGGCAAAGAGCCCUGUUUCCAGUGUCCAUACUGCUCUUAUCGCUGUCAUCGAAGGACAACUCUCAAACCGCACUUGAUCUCAAAACAUUCGAAAAUUAUAAAUUGUACCAUUAAAUGAAUAAUCGAUUUA
RNAcentral lists this long non-coding RNA (1770 nucleotides) under Nilaparvata lugens (brown planthopper). Its description in RNAcentral is "uncharacterized LOC120351418". The record is from RNAcentral. Lineage: Eukaryota; Metazoa; Arthropoda; Insecta; Hemiptera; Delphacidae.